Molecule: ribosomal RNA, 253 nt
Filed under: uncultured bacterium
Lineage: Bacteria
Description: partial 16S ribosomal RNA
Rfam family: Bacterial small subunit ribosomal RNA
Source: RNAcentral
UACGGGGGGAGCAAGCGUUGUUCGGAAUCACUGGGCGUAAAGGGAGUCUAGGCGGUUUGGUAAGUGGGAUGUGAAAUCCCCGGGCUCACCCCGGGACCUGCAUCCCAAACUGCUGAGCUUGAGUACAGGAGAGGGUGGGGGAAUUCCUGGUGUAGCGGUGAAAUGCGCAGAUAUCAGGAGGAACACCGAUGGCGAAGGCAGGUCUCUGGGCCACUACUGACGCUGAGAAGCGAAAGCAUGGGGAGCGAACAGG